Molecule: long non-coding RNA, 726 nt
Filed under: Mus spretus (western wild mouse)
Lineage: Eukaryota; Metazoa; Chordata; Mammalia; Rodentia; Muridae
Description: predicted gene 829 (ENSMSPG00010009538.1)
Source: RNAcentral
GGAAGUCUUGUCCUAACAGGGCAGGUCAUAUUGUCUUGUUUUUACUUUUAUUGGAGGAAUAAAUUUUAUAAUUGAGAGCCGUGCUAAACUCUCUACCAGUGGAGCUACAUCCCCAGUGCCUAGGUCAAUUUUUUUUCCAGGAAAUAAUGGAUGUGACAUGACUUUGGAAGACAAUUUACAGUGUGAGAAGCAUGGACUCCUUCUGAGUGGUGAAGAACUGGGUGAGCCUAUGGGACAUGCCUCACAAACCCUUCCAUAUCCAGCUUUACCCUAUGUGCUCUCAAGAGCCUUCCGGACUCCCAGAGGUGGAAGGUUCGAAUGGAGAGCAAAGCUGAGGCCUUGGAGCUGUGAUGUGUAACAGUCCACAGUAGCUACCGGAGGAGGAUGCACGACCUGCUUCAAGACCACCAUGCCUGUCUCAAGGUGUCCCUCAAGCCUGCCUGAUCAUCAGCACAGGGGCCUAGCGGGCCUAUCAACACCCUAGAAAUGAUCUGCCAUAUCCCCACUCCAAUCGGAUCAUUUGCAGGAACCCCCAUCAUGAGUGAGAUGUCAGACUCAGAGGCCAGGGAACAUCCAGACUCCUAGGGCGUUCACAGCCACCGCAUCUUACUUCUGAAUUUGCAACAAGGGGACUAAGCCUCAGAGAGGUCAAAGUGGCCAGACAAUGACAUGGAAGGACCAAGACAAGAACCCAGGAUGGGCUUCUCCCGCCUGCCUCUCCAGGGC